RNAcentral lists this ribosomal RNA (367 nucleotides) under Carlius sp. ASP12. RNAcentral describes it as "eukaryotic LSU rRNA". Lineage: Eukaryota; Metazoa; Arthropoda; Insecta; Phasmatodea; Phasmatidae. The record is from RNAcentral.
CGGUUAAUUCCGUCUGUGGUGUCGAUCCAGGCUGUCACUCGGUGGGGUCAGUGCUCUGACAAUUCGGCUUGGUGCACUUCCUUCCUUGUAGAAACGUCGCGACCCGUUGGGUGCCGGUCAAGGCCUGGGAUGGCAGACCACGUGUCCUGAUGUGUGGUUCACAGGCUCGUGGACUCCUGGUGUCCUGGCCGGCUGCUCGACGGUAUGACCAGAGGAGUCGAUCCGCUAAAAUAUGGAAAAUCACAUGGGUGUUAAGCGUCCGGCCCGGCGCCGACACGUGCUAGAUAUGGGUUAAACCAGGGAGGCCCCGUGCUGAGACACGGGCUCUGGUCAAGUGCGUUGUUGGUUGUCGGUGUCCUCGGACUGG